RNAcentral lists this ribosomal RNA (463 nucleotides) under uncultured bacterium. RNAcentral describes it as "partial 16S ribosomal RNA". It matches the Rfam family "Bacterial small subunit ribosomal RNA", at positions 28 to 507 of the family's 1533-position model. The record is from RNAcentral.
GAUGAACGCUGACAGAAUGCUUAACACAUGCAAGUCGAUGGGGAAGUGGUGCUUGCACCAUGGUAACCAUGGCGGACGGGUGAGUAACGCGUAAGGAACUUGCCUGCGGGACUGGGAUAACAGCAGGAAACUGCUGAUAAUACCGGAUAAGGUCAUUAAGCUGCAUAGCUUAGUGAUGAAAGGAGACGCCUGCGGAGAGCCUUGCGUCCUAUUAGCUAGUUGGAGGGGUAACGGCCCACCAAGGCGAAGAUAGGUAGCCGGCCUGAGAGGGUGGACGGCCAAAAGGGGACUGAGAUACGGCCCUUACUACUACGGGAGGCAGCAGUGGGGAAUAUUGGACCAUGGGGGCAACCCUGAUCCAGCAAUUCUGUGUGCACGAAGACGGUUUUCGGAUUGUAAAGUGGUUUCAGAAGGGAAGAAGGAAGUGACGGUACCUGCAGAAGAAGCGACGGCUAAAUACGUG